Molecule: ribosomal RNA, 264 nt
Filed under: Prymnesium parvum
Lineage: Eukaryota; Haptophyta; Prymnesiales; Prymnesiaceae
Description: partial Bacterial small subunit ribosomal RNA
Rfam family: Bacterial small subunit ribosomal RNA
Source: RNAcentral
CUCAGAACGAACGCUGGCGGCAGGCUUAACACAUGCAAGUCGAACGCCCCGCAAGGGGAGUGGCAGACGGGUGAGUAACGCGUGGGAAUCUACCCAACUCUACGGAAUAACUCAGGGAAACUUGUGCUAAUACCGUAUACGCCCUUCGGGGGAAAGAUUUAUCGGUGAAGGAUUGGCCCGCGUAAGAUUAGAUAGUUGGUGGGGUAACGGCCUACCAAGUCGACGAUCUUUAGCUGGUUUGAGAGGAUGAUCAGCAACACUGGG